This 330-nucleotide unclassified non-coding RNA is filed under the name uncultured fungus. Its description in RNAcentral is "sequence contains ITS1". Lineage: Eukaryota; Fungi. The record is from RNAcentral.
AAAAUGCGAUACGUGGUGUGAAUUGCAAUAUCACGUCUGCCUGGGCGUCACGCACCGUUGCCCUCUAAACCUCCGCAGUCCUUUAGUGGGAUUGUUGAGAUGUGCGGGGGUCGUAAAGUGGCUUCCCGUCGGCUUUGUCCCGCGGUUGGCCUAAAAAUGUAUCCCUAGUCGCGGUGCGCGCGGCAUUCGGUGGUCAUCGAUAGAUUUCGUUACCCCGCCGUGCGCUCCCGUGUUGCGAAGGAUGUCACCAGCAAACCCGAUGUCUCGCUCUGUGAAGAGCGUAGCUUACAACGCGACCCCAGGUCAGGCGGGGCUACCCGCUGAAUUUAA